AAAUGCGAUAAGUAAUGUGAAUUGCAGAAUUCAGUGAAUCAUCGAAUCUUUGAACGCACCUUGCGCUCCUUGGUAUUCCUUGGAGCAUGCCUGUUUGAGUAUCAUGAAAUCUUCAAAGUAAAUCUUUUGUUAACUCAAUUGGUUUCUACUUUGGUAUUGGAGGUCUUUGCAGCUUCACACCUGCUCCUCUUUGUUCAUUAGCUGGAUCUCAGUGUUAUGCUUGGUUCCACUCGGCGUGAUAAGUUAUCUAUCGCUGAGGACACUGUAAAAGGUGGCCAAGGUAAAUGCAGAUGAACCGCUUCCAAUAGUCCAUUGACUUGGACAAUACUUUUAUGAUCUGAUCUCAAAUCAGGUAGGACUACCCGCUGAACUUAAGC
Molecule: unclassified non-coding RNA, 377 nt
Filed under: plant metagenome
Description: partial contains 5.8S ribosomal RNA, internal transcribed spacer 2, and large subunit ribosomal RNA
Rfam family: 5.8S ribosomal RNA (bases 1-104)
Source: RNAcentral